AUACGGAGGAUCCGAGCGUUAUCCGGAUUUAUUGGGUUUAAAGGGUGCGCAGGCGGCCAUUUAAGUCAGCGGUUAAAUCGUGGGGCUCAACCCCAUUCUGCCGUUGAUACUGGGUGGCUUGAUUGCGGUCGAGGUUGGCGGAAUUCGUUGUGUAGCGGUGAAAUGCAUAGAUAUGACGAAGAACACCGAUUGCGUAGGCAGCUGACCAGACCGCAAAUGACGCUCAUGCACGAAAGUGCGGGGAUCGAACAGGAUUAGGUACCCUGGUAGUCCGCACAGUAAACGAUGAAUACUUGUUUUCGGCGAUAUAAUGUCGGAGGCAAAGCGAAAGCGAUAAGUAUUCCACCUGGGGAGUACGCCGGCAACGGUGAAACUCAAAUGAAUUGACGGGG
Molecule: ribosomal RNA, 392 nt
Filed under: uncultured bacterium
Lineage: Bacteria
Description: partial 16S ribosomal RNA
Rfam family: Bacterial small subunit ribosomal RNA
Source: RNAcentral